Molecule: ribosomal RNA, 1385 nt
Filed under: Lactiplantibacillus plantarum
Lineage: Bacteria; Bacillati; Bacillota; Bacilli; Lactobacillales; Lactobacillaceae
Description: bacterial SSU rRNA
Rfam family: Bacterial small subunit ribosomal RNA
Source: RNAcentral
GAACUCUGGUAUUGAUUGGUGCUUGCAUCAUGAUUUACAUUUGAGUGAGUGGCGAACUGGUGAGUAACACGUGGGAAACCUGCCCAGAAGCGGGGGAUAACACCUGGAAACAGAUGCUAAUACCGCAUAACAACUUGGACCGCAUGGUCCGAGCUUGAAAGAUGGCUUCGGCUAUCACUUUUGGAUGGUCCCGCGGCGUAUUAGCUAGAUGGUGGGGUAACGGCUCACCAUGGCAAUGAUACGUAGCCGACCUGAGAGGGUAAUCGGCCACAUUGGGACUGAGACACGGCCCAAACUCCUACGGGAGGCAGCAGUAGGGAAUCUUCCACAAUGGACGAAAGUCUGAUGGAGCAACGCCGCGUGAGUGAAGAAGGGUUUCGGCUCGUAAAACUCUGUUGUUAAAGAAGAACAUAUCUGAGAGUAACUGUUCAGGUAUUGACGGUAUUUAACCAGAAAGCCACGGCUAACUACGUGCCAGCAGCCGCGGUAAUACGUAGGUGGCAAGCGUUGUCCGGAUUUAUUGGGCGUAAAGCGAGCGCAGGCGGUUUUUUAAGUCUGAUGUGAAAGCCUUCGGCUCAACCGAAGAAGUGCAUCGGAAACUGGGAAACUUGAGUGCAGAAGAGGACAGUGGAACUCCAUGUGUAGCGGUGAAAUGCGUAGAUAUAUGGAAGAACACCAGUGGCGAAGGCGGCUGUCUGGUCUGUAACUGACGCUGAGGCUCGAAAGUAUGGGUAGCAAACAGGAUUAGAUACCCUGGUAGUCCAUACCGUAAACGAUGAAUGCUAAGUGUUGGAGGGUUUCCGCCCUUCAGUGCUGCAGCUAACGCAUUAAGCAUUCCGCCUGGGGAGUACGGCCGCAAGGCUGAAACUCAAAGGAAUUGACGGGGGCCCGCACAAGCGGUGGAGCAUGUGGUUUAAUUCGAAGCUACGCGAAGAACCUUACCAGGUCUUGACAUACUAUGCAAAUCUAAGAGAUUAGACGUUCCCUUCGGGGACAUGGAUACAGGUGGUGCAUGGUUGUCGUCAGCUCGUGUCGUGAGAUGUUGGGUUAAGUCCCGCAACGAGCGCAACCCUUAUUAUCAGUUGCCAGCAUUAAGUUGGGCACUCUGGUGAGACUGCCGGUGACAAACCGGAGGAAGGUGGGGAUGACGUCAAAUCAUCAUGCCCCUUAUGACCUGGGCUACACACGUGCUACAAUGGAUGGUACAACGAGUUGCGAACUCGCGAGAGUAAGCUAAUCUCUUAAAGCCAUUCUCAGUUCGGAUUGUAGGCUGCAACUCGCCUACAUGAAGUCGGAAUCGCUAGUAAUCGCGGAUCAGCAUGCCGCGGUGAAUACGUUCCCGGGCCUUGUACACACCGCCCGUCACACCAUGAGAGUUUGUAACA